UCGGGAAUUUUGGGCAAUGGGCGAAAGCCUGACCCAGCAACGCCGCGUGAGGGAUGAAGUAUUUCGGUAUGUAAACCUCGAAAGAAUGGGAAGAAUAAAUGACGGUACCAUUUAUACGCUCCGGCUAACUACGUGCCAGCAGCCGCGGUAAUACGUAGGGAGCAAGCGUUGUUCGGAUUUACUGGGCGUAAAGGGCGCGUAGGCGGCGCGGUAAGUCACUUGUGAAAUCUCUGAGCUUAACUCAGAACGGCCAAGUGAUACUGCUGUGCUAGAGUGCGGAAGAGGCAACCGGAAUUCUUGGUGUAGCGGUGAAAUGCGUAGAUAUCAAGAGGAACACCUGAGGCGAAGGCGGGUUGCUGGGCCGACACUGACGCUGAUGCGCGAAAGCCAGGGGAGCAAAC
RNAcentral lists this ribosomal RNA (401 nucleotides) under uncultured bacterium. Its description in RNAcentral is "bacterial SSU rRNA". It matches the Rfam family "Bacterial small subunit ribosomal RNA", at positions 355 to 773 of the family's 1533-position model. The record is from RNAcentral.